This is a non-coding RNA of Podarcis lilfordi (Lilford's wall lizard), 285 nucleotides long. The record is from the annotation of a GenBank genome assembly. Lineage: Eukaryota; Metazoa; Chordata; Lepidosauria; Squamata; Lacertidae.
GCGCGUGACGAAACACCCCCCCCCCCAAAAAAAACCCGGAAAAGGCGCGCAUGGCACGUUGGGCGGAGCUCACAGUCGCCUCAGCGACCUGCCACACACACCUUUCAGGUGUCUUCGAGCGGCCUUGCUUUUCGGCCAGGUGAGGGCUAACGCCGCUGUCAAAGCAUCCCCUGAAGUAGCUGCGACGGCGGGAAGCGAAGGUAUCGAUUCCGGCGCCUGAAAAUGGCCUUGAGAAGGGUUGGGCUAGAUGACCCCCGGGGGUCCCUUCCCUACUGUGAUUCUGAG